This 468-nucleotide ribosomal RNA is filed under the name uncultured bacterium. RNAcentral's name for it is "partial 16S ribosomal RNA". It matches the Rfam family "Bacterial small subunit ribosomal RNA", at positions 28 to 507 of the family's 1533-position model. The record is from RNAcentral.
GACGAACGCUGGCGGCGUGCUUAACACAUGCAAGUCGAACGGAAAGGCCCUGCUUUUGUGGGGUGCUCGAGUGGCGAACGGGUGAGUAACACGUGAGUAACCUGCCCUCGACUUUGGGAUAACUUCAGGAAACUGGGGCUAAUACCGGAUAGGAGCUCCUGCUGCAUGGUGGGGGUUGGAAAGUUUCGGCGGUUGGGGAUGGACUCGCGGCUUAUCAGCUUGUUGGUGGGGUAGUGGCUUACCAAGGCUUUGACGGGUAGCCUGCCUGAGAGGGUGACCGGCCACAUUGGGACUGAGAUACGGCCCAGACUCCUACGGGAGGCAGCAGUGGGGAAUAUUGCACAAUGGGCGGAAGCCUGAUGCAGCAACGCCGCGUGCGGGAUGACGGCCUUCGGGUUGUAAACCGCUUUCGCCUGUGACGAAGCGUGAGUGACGGUAAUGGGUAAAGAAGCACCGGCUAACUACGUG